RNAcentral lists this long non-coding RNA (1553 nucleotides) under Homo sapiens (human). RNAcentral's name for it is "PREDICTED lncRNA (TCONS_00232910)". The record is from RNAcentral. Lineage: Eukaryota; Metazoa; Chordata; Mammalia; Primates; Hominidae.
CGUGCACUGCAGCAGCACCGGGACUUGACAGCCCUACGGCUCGAUCAGCUUUCUGUUUUCAUUGCCUUACGAUGCCAUGAGUGGAACUAUUGUCAAAUCAGAGUUCACUCCCCAGCUUUUCAGUCUUUCCCCUAAUUCUUGCUCUAUCAGAGGUCGAGGACAACAGUAUAAUGAUUCAUAGGUUCUACUUCCUGGCAAGUAAUCAUUUUCCCACGGGCCCUUGUGAAUUGAUGAAUAUGAAGACACUAAGAAAGCAGAAAUAGAACUGAGAAGAAUGAAAUAACUGUCUCUACCUUUCUCGAAUUGUCUAAUAUGGAAAGAAUGAAAGACAGCUAAUAAGCAACUCUCUGCAAGAAGACAUAUGGCUUAGGUUCUGCUGAGCUAUUGGUGAUUUGAUUCCAUGCAUAUGUAUUCACUACUGAAUCUACUUGGAGAGAGUCAAACACAGAAUCCCUUUGAAUUUAAUGGCCAUUCCAGGUGAUUUGAACAGCCAAAUAAGAAACAGGUCCUCUUCAAUGUACAAUCUGCCAAGUAUGAAGUCUGAAUGACCAUCAUUAUUAUGUAUUUAAUGUGCAUAGAAAAUCUAUCUGCAACCUUCCAGAGUGUACCAGAAGUUUGGAAUGUACAUUAUUAUUGGCUCCAUCUCAAACCACUCAUAAAUCAAAGAAAAUAGCAGUUCCAGAGGAAUCAUCAUAGAGGCUUCUAGGCCCCCAUGCUGUGUGAACCUGGUGAGAAAGGGAAGUCUGCUCUCACUGGACACUGGAACUGUUUGUCUCUGUCUCUGCUGUACUUUCCCUGCCUCUACCUCACUUAGUAAAGAAAUCAUCUUUGCUUGAUAACUAAAACAACCAAUAAGGCUGAGAAAGGGGAAAACCCACAUCUGGAUUUAAAUACAAGGUAUUGGGCCAGCUGCUGGGGAUUAAACUUUGAACAAAACAGAUAGAAUCUAUGUCCUCAUGGGAGUGGCUAAUGGGAGAGUCGGAACAAAAAAAUAGCCAAGGAUAAUCCAGCAAAUGAUUUGGUGAAUGCUAUCAAAGAGAGAAAUACACAUGCUCUGGGAACACCAAACAGAGUCUUGCUCUUGUUGCCCAGGCUGGAGUAUGAUGGUGCGAUCUCAGUUCACUGCAACCCCUGCCUCCCAGGUUCAAGUGAUUCUCCUACCUCAGCCUCCUGAGUAGCAGGGAUUAUAGGUACAAGCCACCACACCCGGCUAAUUUUUAUAUUUUUAGUAGAGACGGGGUUUCACCACAUUGGCCAGGCUGGUCUCGAACUCCUGACCUCAGGUAAUCUGCCCCUCGGCCUCCCAAAAUGCUGGGAUUAACAGGCAUGAGCCACAGCACCUGGCUGACUUUGCCUGUUUUAUAAUUUCACACAAUAAAAUCAUGCACUGUGCAUUUCUUUGUAUUGUCUCCUUUCACUCAGCAUAAUGUCUGUGUGAUUCAACCCUGUGGUGAUGUGUCAUUUUUUUAAAAAAAAUUAAGAUAUUUUAUUAUAUGAACAUACCAUAAUUUGUUUAUUCAUUUGGUGAACAUUGUGUUGAUGCCAGGUUUGGG